Long non-coding RNA from Apis dorsata (giant honeybee), 1191 nucleotides. RefSeq lists it as uncharacterized. NCBI's taxonomy places the organism in Eukaryota, Metazoa, Arthropoda, Insecta, Hymenoptera, Apidae. The record is from RefSeq and is a predicted model, not a curated record. The transcript has 3 exons.
UUCGUCGGGAUUGUCCCCCCUCGUUAUCCUCGUCGUUUCAGUUGCUGUCUUCUUGAUUUUUAUUUUUUUUCUGUUCAUUCACUAUUUCUUUAUCUUUUUUCGUCUCCGUUUUUCUUCUUUUGUAUUUAGGUCUUCCACUUAUCGAGAAACCUUCCUAUCUUUUCCUACUUUCGUCUUCUCGUCCGUUAUAUCGCGCGUGGCUUCGCACCUUUCUUACGUACAAAUUCCACAAAGCACUACUAAUACAGCAUGUUACAAAAAUAGAGUUUAUGUUCCCUUAAAUAAAAUAAAUGUACAAUUAAUUGUUACUUGUGGUUAGGAAACAUUUAGUGUAUGUGUUGUCUUGUAGGUAGAGUCUAAGCUACUGCCCGGCGAGGUUCGCCCAUCUUGCCCGAAACUAAGGAGAAUCGCCGCUUGGAGGCGCAAUGUGUGCCACCACCAACGAUGGGGCUCCGGCGGCCGCACCUGUCUGCACGACCGCCACUCAACACACACUCAUGUAUCACGAGAUACAAGCAAUAUCUUACGAGUUUAUUGAGUGCAACAAAGAGAUAACUAACGUCUUUAUAAUUCGUCUAACAAAGAUAGAAUCUACUACCUAACGAAUGACGUAGAAAAGAGAGGACUAUAAUCACCACGGUUUCUUCGAUGAGUUUCGGUGUGGCGUAGUUGGCAGGCAUGCGAAUGAACGAGUGGCGAACACGACGGAGAUCUCUGGUAACAGUGCCCGCGAAAGACAAAGAUCGAAAAUAAAGGAUGAUACGAGAAAAGAGAAUGAAAAAAGAGAAAAGAGAAAACGAACGACAGACAGUGGCGGAUAUAUUCACCCCCGUAUACGCAACCCUUUGCGAUACGAUAAUAAACAAUGAACGAUCUUACUUGGUCGACUCGUCUACUACGUGUGGAAUUGCACGGAGAUGAGAGGACGGCAGCCACUCAGACAUUCCGUUGCUCGUACGAACAGGUUUCCUACCGAUUGCAGAAAAAAAGCACUUAGACUUGAUUUUCUUCCCGUUACUCGAAAUCGAUGAAUACUAACCCCUGUGAAAACAUAAGGAAAAGAGAAAUGGAUGUAUCGAUCUCACCCCUAGGGACUUGCUAGGAUUAGGAUAUCACGGUAGCCACCCACGACGAACUAUGAAACACCAUGCAAUAGCGGAAAAAUCUUUUAACAUUUAGUAAUAUUAUUUA